This 917-nucleotide long non-coding RNA is filed under the name Monodelphis domestica (gray short-tailed opossum). Its description in RNAcentral is "lncRNA (ENSMODG00000038787.1)". The record is from RNAcentral. Lineage: Eukaryota; Metazoa; Chordata; Mammalia; Didelphimorphia; Didelphidae.
UGAGGCAGAGAGAGGAUAUUGGAAAUUAGUCUAAUCAAUGUGAAAAGAAUCUGACUGCAAGUCUAAGGGUGACAUUUUUCUUCUAAAAAAUCUCCUGUACUCUGUCCUUCUUUCUCCACAUUGGGAGUACUGUAAGUACCAAUACAAGAAAAUAUUUAAGGGGAAUCCUAUUGCUAAUUUUAGCUAUUUAAAAAAAUAGCAGGGAUUAAAAUCUAUUUAUGGAACCAAGAUGUCCGAGUAAUCAUCAGCAACUCUGUGACACCAUGAGAAUCCUCUCUAACCAAGAUUAAAAUAUCACCACCAAAUGAAUACAAGAGUGAAAGAACCAUCAAGUAGACAGAGUAAAACAACUUUCAAGAAAAGAAAAACCCAAAAGACUUGCAAAACAGACCCUCUGAAGCUUUCCUGCCUGCAGUUACUUUGGCACAGAGUUCUCCAGCCACCAGAUCAUGGCUGAAAUCAUGGCAAAUCAAUCCUCUUCUUAGAUGCAGAUUUGGGACAUAUGAGGAAGAGGAUGUGAUGACCCCUCCAUAUUGGACUUGGAAACUAGAGUCAAUCUUUGGUGCUAACAGCCUCCCCCUUUCUCAAGAAGUCAGACAACAUGGUAUAGACUGUGCAUAUAUUAUCAUAUUAUACAUAUUUCCCUGUUUAUUGGGUUCUGAAACAAGAUAUAUUGCUUACACUAGACAAAAAUUCAUGGAAGAAAUAAAGUGAAGAGUGGUAUAUUUCAAUAUGGUUCCUUUUAUGAUAGAAGAUAGCCUCUUUCCUUGUGAGUCAUGUGAAGUCCUGUGUCCUUGCCUUGUUGGUAAUACUUAAGUCAUUCAUAUUUUGUCAUCAUGAGCUACUUUUGUAAUUGUAUGCAAUGCUGUCUUGGUUCUCCCCACUUCACUCUGGAUCACUAAAACUUUCCAGGUUUU